UGAGUGGUCUCCGGCCCCUCCCUCCCUGAACGGCAGGCCGACGACAACACUCCGCUGAGGGCAGACCCCACCAGUUCGUGGCGCCAAACCCUCCGCGGCAUGCUCCUGCCGCUGCUCACGCCACUCGAUUCGUCCGGUCGGGGCAGCGGAAGGUGACCCCAUGCAGGUUUACGGCGUGGUGAAUUUCUGCUUCCGGAUUUAACACUCACAGACCAGACUGAGAAGCCUGGGGGCCUAGACUUGUUCAGUAACGUGCCCUUCCCCCACUACGGAUCAAAGCUACGAGGAGAGUGGGAAAUCAGGAACUCCUUUGGUAAGCAGUUUGCCCUUUAGAGUAGAUUUUAGAGUUAUUUCUCAGGUGUGCUGUAGGUUUGCAGUCUUCCCUCAAACUGGUUUUCCUUCUGAAUGUCAUCUUGGAAGUAGUAGAGUACUGUAACAGUUGUUCACUCCUGCAUCUUCAAAAAGUAAGCAGAUAAGGCCUCCUUAGCAGGGCACUCCAUCUUGCCCUUCAGCCACACUCCUCCAUGUAAAUUGACAUUUCCUCUUCCUGUACUGUUAACACAGGAAUUCAUACUAAGGAGGUGGCAUUCGGAAAUCCAUGUUUAGAGUGACUUGUAUUUAGGAUCCAGAAUAAAAAGCAAUGAAAUGGGAAUAGCCUGAAGCAGCAAAUUUGAUGACUGUGUUGUGUAGAUAGUUUUCAAGGAAUUUCUGGCUGAUGAUAUUGAAAUAGAACAGAAUUUCAUGAUCAGGACGCAGCGUGAAUUCUGCUUGUAUCCGAUUGCUGUUGAGAUUAUUAUAUGCAUGGCGUAUGAACAAGUGGAGCCCUGUGGAGGCAUGGCAGGACAGCUGUGAAGGAGAAGAUUGUAGAUUUUCUUAGUUCUACUAUUCUCUCAGGA
This 896-nucleotide long non-coding RNA is filed under the name Rattus norvegicus (Norway rat). RNAcentral's name for it is "long non-coding RNA NONRATT022069". The record is from RNAcentral. Lineage: Eukaryota; Metazoa; Chordata; Mammalia; Rodentia; Muridae.